CGUCUGAUGGAGCACGCCGCGUGAGUGAAGAAGGGUUUCGGCUCGUAAAACUCUGUUGUUAAAGAAGAACAUAUCUGAGAGUAACUGUUCAGGUAUUGACGGUAUUUAACCAGAAAGCCACGGCUAACUACGUGCCAGCAGCCGCGGUAAUACGUAGGUGGCAAGCGUUGUCCGGAUUUAUUGGGCGUAAAGCGAGCGCAGGCGGUUUUUUAAGUCUGAUGUGAAAGCCUUCGGCUCAACCGAAGAAGUGCAUCGGAAACUGGGAAACUUGAGUGCAGAAGAGGACAGUGGAACUCCAUGUGUAGCGGUGAAAUGCGUAGAUAUAUGGAAGAACACCAGUGGCGAAGGCGGCUGUCUGGUCUGUAACUGACGCUGAGGCUCGAAAGUAUGGGUAGCAAACAGGAUUAGAUACCCUGGUAGUCCAUACCGUAAACGAUGAAUGCUAAGUGUUGGAGGGUUUCCGCCCUUCAGUGCUGCAGCUAACGCAUUAAGCAUUCCGCCUGGGGAGUACGGCCGCAAGGCUGAAACUCAAAGGAAUUGACGGGGGCCCGCACAAGCGGUGGAGCAUGUGGUUUAAUUCGAAGCUACGCGAAGAACCUUACCAGGUCUUGACAUACUAUGCAAAUCUAAGAGAUUAGACGUUCCCUUCGGGGACAUGGAUACAGGUGGUGCAUGGUUGUCGUCAGCUCGUGUCGUGAGAUGUUGGGUUAAGUCCCGCAACGAGCGCAACCCUUAUUAUCAGUUGCCAGCAUUAAGUUGGGCACUCUGGUGAGACUGCCGGUGACAAACCGGAGGAAGGUGGGGAUGACGUCAAAUCAUCAUGCCCCUUAUGACCUGGGCUACACACGUGCUACAAUGGAUGGUACAACGAGUUGCGAACUCGCGAGAGUAAGCUAAUCUCUUAAAGCCAUUCUCAGUUCGGAUUGUAUG
RNAcentral lists this ribosomal RNA (930 nucleotides) under Lactiplantibacillus plantarum. Its description in RNAcentral is "bacterial SSU rRNA". It matches the Rfam family "Bacterial small subunit ribosomal RNA", at positions 380 to 1304 of the family's 1533-position model. The record is from RNAcentral. Lineage: Bacteria; Bacillati; Bacillota; Bacilli; Lactobacillales; Lactobacillaceae.